This 274-nucleotide ribosomal RNA is filed under the name uncultured bacterium. Its description in RNAcentral is "partial 16S ribosomal RNA". It matches the Rfam family "Bacterial small subunit ribosomal RNA", at positions 523 to 796 of the family's 1533-position model. The record is from RNAcentral.
AUACGGAGGGUGCGAACGUUAAUCGGAAUUACUGGGCGUAAAGCGCUCGUAGGCGGUUUGUUAAGUCGGAUGUGAAAGCCCCGGGCUCAACCUGGGAACUGCAUUCGAUACUGGCAAACUAGAGUAUAGUAGAGGCAAGUGGAAUUCCGGGUGUAGCGGUGAAAUGCGUAGAUAUCCUGAGGAACAUCAGUGGCGAAGGCGACUUGCUGGACUAAUACUGACGCUGAGGAGCGAAAGCGUGGGGAGCAAACGGGAUUAGAAACCCCGGUAGUCC